GCUUGUGGCUCAGUGAUAUAGUGCUCGCCUCACAUGUGUGAGGCCCUGGGUUUGAUUUUCAGCACCGCA
Molecule: transfer RNA, 69 nt
Filed under: Marmota monax (woodchuck)
Lineage: Eukaryota; Metazoa; Chordata; Mammalia; Rodentia; Sciuridae
Description: tRNA.Val
Source: RNAcentral